RNAcentral lists this transfer RNA (72 nucleotides) under Neotoma lepida (desert woodrat). It matches the Rfam family "tRNA". Rfam says of the family: Transfer RNA (tRNA) molecules are approximately 80 nucleotides in length. Their secondary structure includes four short double-helical elements and three loops (D, anti-codon, and T loops). Lineage: Eukaryota; Metazoa; Chordata; Mammalia; Rodentia; Cricetidae. The record is from Rfam by way of RNAcentral.
GGGGACGUAGCUCCAUGGUAGAGUGUUUGCCUAUCCCAUGCAAAGUCCCGGGUUCAAUUCCCAACGACACCA